GAUGAACGCUAGCGGGAGGCUUAACACAUGCAAGUCGAGGGGCAGCAUAGGGUAGCAAUACUCUGAUGGCGACCGGCAAACGGGUGAGUAACGCGUAUGUAACCUACCCUGUACAGGGGGAUAACCCGGAGAAAUUCGGACUAAUAUCCCAUAACAAUAUCCGGGGGCAUCUUUGGAUAUUUAAAGUUCCGGCGGUACGGGAUGGGCAUGCGUAACAUUAGCUAGUUGGUAAGGUAACGGCUUACCAAGGCUUUGAUGUUUAGGGGUCCUGAGAGGGUGGUCCCCCACACUGGUACUGAGACACGGACCAGACUCCUACGGGAGGCAGCAGUGAGGAAUAUUGGUCAAUGGGCGCAAGCCUGAACCAGCCAUCCCGCGUGCAGGAAGACGGCGCUAUGCGUUGUAAACUGCUUUUCCAGGGAGAGAAACUUGCGCACGUGUUGCGCAAUUGACGGUACCCUGGGAAUAAGCAUCGGCUAACUCCGUGCCAGCAGCCGCGGUAAAACGUG
RNAcentral lists this ribosomal RNA (509 nucleotides) under uncultured bacterium. RNAcentral's name for it is "bacterial SSU rRNA". It matches the Rfam family "Bacterial small subunit ribosomal RNA", at positions 28 to 529 of the family's 1533-position model. The record is from RNAcentral.